Molecule: non-coding RNA, 335 nt
Organism: Pelobates cultripes (western spadefoot toad)
Lineage: Eukaryota; Metazoa; Chordata; Amphibia; Anura; Pelobatidae
Source: the annotation of a GenBank genome assembly
AGCACUUCAAUCAUCUGUACGUGGAUGGACUAUGGCUAUUUAUAACACUCCAUGGCUCCCUCCCCCAAUGUCCCCUUCCAAAUGUGUGACAAGGACAUCACAAAUCUCAUCCCGCAAAAUGCAAAGCUGCUGCUUGGCUGUCAGUCCGUCUGUCUUCAUGUCUCAUUCUCUAUUGUCUGUCUGCAUGUUGUGUGUGCUGUUUAACUCUUUAUCCUGUGUCUGUUUUAUGUACUGUCUGUCUCUGUGUACUUUGGGUAUGGUCUGUUUGUCUGUCUGUGUAUUGCAUGUGAGGUCUGUCUGUAUACUGUCUUUCACUGUGUUUGUGUGUACUGUCU